RNAcentral lists this ribosomal RNA (611 nucleotides) under uncultured bacterium. RNAcentral describes it as "bacterial SSU rRNA". It matches the Rfam family "Bacterial small subunit ribosomal RNA", at positions 28 to 635 of the family's 1533-position model. The record is from RNAcentral.
AGCGAACGCUGGCGGCGUGCUUAACACAUGCAAGUCGAACGCGCAGCACUUUGUAGCAAUACAGAGUGUGGGCGCGUGGCGAACGGGUGCGUAACACGUGGGCAACCUUCCCUUCGGUGGGGGAUACCCUCGCGAAAGCGAGACUAAUACCGCAUAACAUUCCCUUGGUUACGACUGGGGGAUUCAAAGCAGCAAUGCGCCGGAAGAGGGGCCCGCGGCCGAUUAGCUAGUUGGUGAGGUAACGGCUCACCAAGGCUUUGAUCGGUAACCGGUCUGAGAGGACGAUCGGUCACACUGGAACUGAGACACGGUCCAGACUCCUACGGGAGGCAGCAGUGGGGAAUAUUGCGCAAUGGGCGAAAGCCUGACGCAGCGACGCCGCGUGGGGGAUGAAGCUUUUCGGAGUGUAAACCCCUUUCGACCCGGACGAAAGCCCGCAAGGGCCUGACGGUACGGGUAUAAGAAGCCCCGGCUAACUACGUGCCAGCAGCCGCGGUAAAACGUAGGGGGCCAGCGUUGCUCGGAAUUACUGGGCGUAAGGGGUCUGUAGGCGGUGCGGCAAGUCAGAAGUGAAAUCUGAGGGCUCACCCCUUAGACUGCUCCCGAAACUG